GAUAGGUAAGAGUUUACUUGGAGCCAUAGCCCUAGGCUGCCCGUGUCUACUUUUGAUAGAACCAUGCGCAACCCUGCAGUCAUAGAUCUUCUUUCUUUGUUCCUGACAGUCCAGUUCUUGGUCAGUGCUGUGCUGAACUUCUAGAAGCUGGUCUCUAGGUGUCUGUAAAGUACUCAGAAGUAGUGACUUUUAGAUGUAGGAAAACAGAUGGUCUGUUGAAACAAGUGUUACUGGGCAUAGACUACUGCUGCCCACUGUGUAAUUUUUUUCUCUUUAUCCCCUUAAAAGGGUCUUAUUGUGUAUCCUAGGGUGGUCUUGGACUCGUAUUUCCUCAACCUCUCCAGUGCUGAGAUUACAGGCAUAUGUCAUUACACUGGACUUCCUGCAUAUUCAAAUUUUUUGUUAGCAGCGAAACUUUUAUUCCAGACUUAUCUAGGAGAGCAGUACUCCUCUCUGAUACCUACUAGGUCUUGGUCAGUAUUUCUGUGAUCUUUAAAAGACCUCAUGUCUAUAUGGAUUAGAUCUAAGGAAGUAUUCUCAGUGUGUCUGACACAAAGGACUAAGCCUUCUCAGGGACCAAAACUGUAUUAUCAGAUCCUUAGCACAGACUUUCUAAGGACAUAGCCACAUUUUUCCUAUGUUUUAUGUGUAUUCACUGCUAGAUUCUGUAGUUGUUAAAAGGCUCCUUGACACACCAGUCACAUCAUAAGCCAGUUUACCACAUAGAAGGCCUAAAUUGUUUGUAUUUCUCAUUUACACAUGACAGUUGUCACUGUUGAAUUUUAAGGGUCUGUUAUUUAGUUCAUAAGUGACUUGUCACAUCUGGCAAGAUUCGUAAACUGUUUUAUCGAUUGAAGAAGAUUAAGAGUUAUAAGAAUAGCAAUGAGCAUCUGACCCAAUAUCACUACUCAUUUUUUAUCAUACACAUUUCUCAUGUACAAUUAAAUGCAGCAAAAGAAUAUUUUUAAAAGUAACAGCUGUUGUAUCAAAAGAUAGCUAUUUAAAAAUUGAUAUUAUGUAGAAAAAAAUGAUCAUGUAAAUAAACAUCUGUUUCAAAUGUACCCAAAAAUAAUUUAAGAGCAUAGUCAUAGGCCCAUGCAGUCAGGAAGGAUUUAUUUAUUUGUUUGUGUUUAAAGGUUUAUAUUUAUUUCAUGUCAUACGGGCGUUUUUCUGCAUAUAUGUAUGUGUACCACCCGCAUGCAGUGCCCACCAAGGCUGGAAGAGGUGGAAAGAUCCCUUGGAACUGGAGCUUCUGCCGUUGUGCUCCACCAAGAGGGUCCUGGGAACCCAACCUGAGCCCUCGGCGAAGCAGCACGUGCUUUUAAGCACUGAGCCAUCUCUCCAGUCCCAGAGGACUUUCAUUUUUCCCAAUUUUCUCCUGAUUUGUGAAAAUGUAUGUGAGUUUUUUUAACCUUUCUGUGCCUCGGUUUUUCUACCUCGAAAGUUGUAGGAAGGUUCUCCAAAACCGAUUCUAAACCGAGGAUACAUUCAGUAACACUCUGGGAACUGAAGGGAGGAGCAGUGUGCUCAGAACUGCUCUGGAAGGUUGCAACGUUGGAGUCUCAUCAAGACUGUGCUGUAGAGCACGUAACCUUGAACACCAAACAAGUAAGGGGAAUGCUGGGCACAAAGUUUGCAUGAUUCCGUAAGACGUUAACUUUGUUUUAAGGGUUUACAUAUUUUGUUGGAGAAGGAGGAAAUAAAACAUGGACUUCAAAAAAAAUAAUGGAAAGACCGGAUGGCAUGACGAGUUCCUGUGUUGGGCUGCGUUGGGCUGUGUGCUGUAUAUGUAACCUGUGUGUCCCAUCAAUUCUGUUUCGUUGAAUUUCUCAUGAGACAUGCUGAACUUCCUGCUCACCAGGGCACCUGAGCCCUCAUACUCAACUAUCUGAUGCCAGGCAAAUGUCAGGAACUCCCGAAACACUAAUGCCAAAGAGUCACCUUGACAAAUUCAGAAUGCUUCUUUUGUCAUAAUACCUUGCAUUUCACCUCAUCAGUGUUUUUGCACUUUACAAAAGUUUAAAGGUGUGGCAUUUCGGUUGUAAUCCUGGUUUUGCUUUUUAAAAGAAUAAUUAUUACUUCCUCAUGAAAUGAACAUAAUGAGAGAAACAGAUUAAAAAGAAUGCCAAAUGUUGGUUGCGUGAAAGCUUUUUUCACAUGAAUGUAGUAGGGGAAAAUGUUUCCAGUUAGUACACACACAUAUUUAUCACUGUCUAGGACUUGCUUAUAUUUUGCUUCAUAGAAGUAGUCAUAGCAUGUUAUAAAUGCCUUAUGUAGAUAAAAAGGCUCUUAAGUUUUACAAUAAUAUUUAUUAUUCUGUAUAUGUUUUAAAAUAAAGUAACAUUUCUAGCUGA
RNAcentral lists this long non-coding RNA (2354 nucleotides) under Rattus norvegicus (Norway rat). Its description in RNAcentral is "long non-coding RNA NONRATT002720". Lineage: Eukaryota; Metazoa; Chordata; Mammalia; Rodentia; Muridae. The record is from RNAcentral.